RNAcentral lists this long non-coding RNA (250 nucleotides) under Vigna radiata. Its description in RNAcentral is "long non-coding RNA (VRAD_LNC009151)". Lineage: Eukaryota; Viridiplantae; Streptophyta; Magnoliopsida; Fabales; Fabaceae. The record is from RNAcentral.
UCGACCCUAGACCCUCUCCCGUUCAACGGUGGUUAUUCUGUGGAAGGGGCUUCGUGACGACGGUGGUGUGGCGGUGUGAGGAAGGUGGUAUUGCGGCGUGAGGACGUAGGGUUGUCACUGCGUGAAGGAUUGUUCUUCGAGGGAUCUUUGUGGAGGGUGGUUCUUUCGUAGGAACGAGGUUGCUUCCAGCAUCUUGGUUGAGGUCUUGGUUUGUGUUUCUUCCCUUCCCGUGGAGGUAAGUAGGUUUUUU